GGUAGCAUUGCUGGUGAGCGCUGAUGAAAUUUGACGCUCGCAAUGCUUUAUUCGCUUUCUUCUUCUGACCACGGAUGUACUGGCAUUGGUUUGAGAGCGACUUCAGGAAGGUCGGCGCGUUUCGCUCCGGCCUUUUUUGUU
This 141-nucleotide small RNA is filed under the name Martinezella lusitana. RNAcentral's name for it is "Rhizobium lusitanum sRNA ar35". It matches the Rfam family "Alphaproteobacterial sRNA ar35". The record is from RNAcentral. Lineage: Bacteria; Pseudomonadati; Pseudomonadota; Alphaproteobacteria; Hyphomicrobiales; Rhizobiaceae.